CCAGGUAGCUGGCAAUAGACAAGGACUGCUGGGAAAGGCUACAGGAAGGCAGGCAGCAGACUGUCCCUGGGAAGAGAAUUUGGAGCUGGUACAAGCAGAAUGGGAACCACAUGUGGCAGAAAGCAGUCCAGGGAAGGAGCACUGAAGGCUGGAAGAGGAACCCAAAACUGCUGAGACCUCAGCGGAGGGGGUUCUCUGCUCGAAUAAGAUGGGAAUGUGUGCCUCAGUGACAGAGAGAAGUACAUCACCUCGAGGGGAGGCCAACAUAUACAAACCUCUGGGCACUGGCAUCUGCAUCAGUACUGGUGAUGUCUGUCUGCUAGGUGGGGCAUUCAAGGAAGCUGGAUUGCCCAGUACUUGAUGAUUUCUGGUACCUGUCUCCUCCUCGUAUAAAGAGAUCUCCAUAGACUGUUCCAGAAAGUAAAGCUUCAGUCACUCAUCCUCUGACUUGAAGAAAACAACUGUCACAUCGAGCAUUUAUCCAGUAUAUGACUGUAGCAGAGUAUAGCAAGGCCCCCUUGCUCCGGCUUCUGCUGCGUUCACAAAUCACGCAGACCCUGGAGCUUACCAAUCACCAGUGUGGUUUAUUUACAGCGUGCACUCCCACCACAUACAGCUUGGGUUUUCAGCCUUAAGGACUUCUCAGCUUCUGCACCCAGGAGGGAAGAGCUACCACUCUCCUUCCACUCUCUGGCUCCCACCCUAUUCCUUUCUUCCCCUGGGCCUGUAUGUAGCCCCAGGCUAAUUAGGCUGGCAGCUGUUUCCCAUUUGCCAAUGGUGCAGGUUUCUCUAGCCAGCUCCAAUUUACCUCCCUUAAUUGGAGCUGGCAUGAGAGAGGGCUGGCUCAGGAGUUCCUGCCCAGCACCGUGUCAAAAUGACUCUCUCCCAAACAGAAGAGGCUGAGUCCAUCUUGUAAUUAAAUUAGCCCAUUGCAGACCUUGAAGCCAUAGGUUUAUAGUCUGCCUGUUAAGGCACCCUCUACAGGGUAAGUAUACAAGGGGGACUCUACAGGAGAGUCUCACCAUCCUGCUACAGGAGUAGCGCAGCUGCCAUAUUCUUUGGGCCCUCAUACGGGAGCAUGAGGAGGCACAGGGUGCGCGCACAGCCCAUUGGUUAUUGCUAUUCAUUAGACUCUGAUCUCACACACAUUAGGGACAAGCACACCUACAGUGGGAUCCAUACUGACAUACACUCAAAGAACUCAGAGUUAAGGCAGAUAAUGCCUUGAAAUUUUUGAUCUCCCUCUGCCUCAGUGACCUUUACCCUUUAAAGAGCUAAGAGGAAGGUAAACUGGCUUAACGGUCUUUACUGUCCUGAGCUAUUAGCCUGUUUCCUUGAAGCCAUUCAAAACAUAAGGAACCGAAUAGGGUUAGUUCCUAUCCCAUGAAUAUAGUGACUUGGACAGUUUAGGAGCUCACCAUGGCACUGGAAGACAAGAAAAAGACCUUGCAAGAGCCCCUGCUGCCCUUACAAAAAUAUGCAGAGUCAUGGUUAGUGCUUAUGGGUUUCAAGGAGUUUUUCCAGAGUAAGGAUUGCAGGUCCAUAGCUUGGGCUUGGUCCUGAAACCCUUACAUAGCACCAGGCUGUGAACCUUAUUUUUUCAUUCUGCUUUCCACUCUGAGCUAACACCGUUCUUUUAUAUAAUCUCAGCUGGUAGUCACAUGAUUCAGUCACCUGUCCUACUCCCCACCCCCUCCUCCAAAAAUCCCAACACCUCUGGUGAUCCUUCCAGGAACUACCCCUCAUAAAAGGGGCUUCAUUUGGAACAAAG
Long non-coding RNA from Chelonia mydas (Green sea turtle), 1771 nucleotides. RefSeq lists it as uncharacterized. The record is from RefSeq and is a predicted model, not a curated record. The transcript is spliced from 3 exons. Lineage: Eukaryota; Metazoa; Chordata; Testudines; Cheloniidae.